This 1465-nucleotide ribosomal RNA is filed under the name uncultured Bordetella sp. Its description in RNAcentral is "partial 16S-23S ribosomal RNA intergenic spacer". It matches the Rfam family "Bacterial small subunit ribosomal RNA". Lineage: Bacteria; Pseudomonadati; Pseudomonadota; Betaproteobacteria; Burkholderiales; Alcaligenaceae. The record is from RNAcentral.
GGUUCGAUUAUGGCUCAGGAAUUGAACGCUGGCGGGAUGCUUUACAUGCAGAAGUCGAACGGCAGCACGGACUUCGGUCACGGUGGCGAGUGGCGAACAGGUGAGUAAUGUAUCGGAACGUGCCUGGCGAAGUUAACUACGCAGCGUAGCUAAUACCGCGCCACGCCCUUCGGGGGAAAGCGGGGACCUUGGGCCUCGCACUAAUGAAGCCGAUAUCGGAUUAGCUAGUUGGUGGGGUAACGGCUCACCAGGGCGACGAUCCGUAGCUGGUUUGAGAGGACGACCGACACACUGGGACUGAGACACGGCCCAGACUCCUGCAGGAGGCAGCAGUGGGGAAUUUUUGGACAAUGGGGGAAACCCACGAUCCAGCCAUCCGGUAUUGCGAUGAAGGCCCUUCGGGUUGUAAAGCACUUUGGCAGGAAAGAAACAGCACGGGAUAAUACCCAUGCAACUGACGUGAGACACCUGCAGAAUAAGCACCGGCUAACUACGGCUACCAGCAGCCGCGGUAAUACGUAGGAGUGCAAGCGUUAAUCGGAAUUACUGGGCGUAAAGCGUGCGCGAGCGGUUGGAAGAAGAUGCCGAAAUCCCAGAGCUUAACUUUUGGAACAUUUAACUACGACUAGUGUGUCAGAGGGAGGUGGAAUUCCGCGAUGUAGCAGUGAAAUGUGGAAAUAUGCGGAGGAACACCGAUGGCGAAGGCAGCCUCCUGGGAUAACACUGACGCUCAUGCACGAAAAGCGUGGGGAGCAAACGAGUUAGAUACCUGGUAGUCCACGCCCUAAACGAUGUCAACUAGCUGUUGGGGCCUUCGGGCCUUGGUAGCGCAGCUAACGCUGUGAAGUUGACCGCCUGGGGAGUACGGUCGCAAGAUUAAAACUCAAAGGAAUUGACGGGGACCCGCACAGCGAUCGAGAUGAUGUCAGUUAAAUUCGAUGCAACGCGAAAAACCUUACCUACCCUUGACAUGUCUGGAAUCCCGAGAUUUAGUGCUCGCAAGAGAACCGGAACACGGGUGCUGCAUGGCUGUCGUCAGCUCGUGUCGUGAGAUGUUGGGUUAAGUCCGCAACGAGCGCAGCCUUGUCAUUAGUUGCUGAAGGGCACUCUAAUGGGAUUGCCGGUGACAAACCGGAGGAAGGUGGGGAUGACGUCAAGUCUCGCUGGCUAUAUGGGUAGAACUACACACGUCAUACAAUGGUCGGGACAGAGGUCGCCAACCCGCGAGGGGGAGCCAAUCCCGAGCCCCGAUCGUAGUGGAUCGCAGUCUGUAACUCGACUGCGUGAAGUCGGAAUCGCUAGUAAUCGCGGAUCAGCAUGUCGCGGUGAAUACGUUCCCGGGUCUUGUACACACCGCCCGUCACACCAUGGGAGUGGGUUUUACCAGAAGUAGUUAGCCUAACCGUAAAGGGAGGGCGAUUACCACAGUAGGAUUCAUGACUGGGGUGAAGUCGUAACAAGGUAG